This 137-nucleotide small nucleolar RNA is filed under the name Castor canadensis (American beaver). RNAcentral's name for it is "Small nucleolar RNA SNORA44 (ENSCCNG00000025148.1)". It matches the Rfam family "Small nucleolar RNA SNORA44". Rfam says of the family: ACA44 is a member of the H/ACA class of snoRNA that guide the sites of modification of uridines to pseudouridines. Lineage: Eukaryota; Metazoa; Chordata; Mammalia; Rodentia; Castoridae. The record is from Rfam by way of RNAcentral.
AGGUAUCUUUCUUACAGUUUGAAAAUACAUUUAAAAAACAGCAAUGGGAUCUCAAACUGCAUGCAAGAGAAACCUGGUGAGACUGACAGCUCCGGUCAUCCCAAUGUCUGCAGCUGCUAUUCACCUUUCCUAUAAUG